Rhea pennata is the source of this 476-nucleotide long non-coding RNA. RefSeq lists it as uncharacterized. NCBI's taxonomy places the organism in Eukaryota, Metazoa, Chordata, Aves, Rheiformes, Rheidae. The transcript is spliced from 3 exons. The record is from RefSeq and is a predicted model, not a curated record.
CCGAAGAGCUACACUAAGAAGUUCUGAAUACCCUAAAGCAGUAGACAUCUGCAUUCACACCAUGAGCAAUGAUGGAUGGAACUGAGCAAUUUCUUAACCUUGCUGCCUCUGUGUUGCUUGGUCUUUGGCUAUCUCAUUAAUUCUUACAGGCUUCCUUCUCUUUCUGAAACUCCACCAUAAAUAAGGACUGGCCAGCAGAACGAUUUCGGCUGAAGAGAAACAUAAGGACCAGAGGCCUAUCAAAAGAUGAGAAAGAGUGACUUAGCCAUUGAAGAAAAGUGACCUAGUCAUUGAAGAAAACUUACACAUGAUUAUCUUCUGUCUUCUGACAUCAUUACUUUAAAACAACCUCCAGUCUGGGGAAAACCAGGCUAUGACACAUCUACCUCCAUACAACAGGUUUACAUUGGUGAAGCUAUAUGGCUGGAUACAGUUCAGUUUCUUGAUUUUCUGAUCAAUAAAGACCAUCUAUUUCA